ACCAAGUCACAGAAAUCCAAGCAAGCACCACGACGGACCAGCUCAGUGGCCCAGCCUCAGGGGUACCGCUUCAGACGCCGACAGGCGAGAUGCAGGAGGACACCACACCCCCGCUGACCCCCAGCACCUCUGCAGUUCAAGGCGACCUAACUUUGUCCUAAACGACUCAACUUUCUCCCGCCCCUGAGCUGCCGGACUAGGAGAGGGAGGGAGUGGUGGCUCCGCAGGCCUCCCAGCCAUCCUCACCAACCGAGCCUCGCCCUGGGUUCCGCUCCCGACAGCUGCGCCGCUCUACUCGCUGUGCGCCGCAGAGGAGCGGGAAUUGGACGCAAAGCCAAGAGGGUCCCGCCCCGCGCGCGCCGGGGAACGGGAUUGGACAGAAGGCCUCCACGGCCCCGCCCAGUGCAUGAAGUGGGGGACCCACUGGGCCUGCGCCGUGCAGGGACUCGGCCCCGCCUGCCUCGAGCGUUCUAGGCCUGGGUUAAGUUUCUGGGCUGCGGUCCUGGGAAAGACUUGCCUCGCACCGAACUAGCUCCCGAAGUCCGCGCAGCCUCGGUGACCUGCCCGAUGCUGUGGGAGCUCGAUGCCCCGACGCCCCGACCUGAGUUAUCUGGGGAAUCGCUCUCUGCCCACGGAAGGACUCAGCCUCCUGGAAGACACUGAAACUGAUGGCUCAAACCUGUUUACACCGGCUUCUGCUUGACGCCGCGCCCAGUUUCCCUCACUCUUUUUCUUGCGCGCCCGGUUGCUCUCCUCCCUUUUCCCAGGGCGAUGCUUUUUGCAUCACCCAAGCAAAGAACUCAGACCAGGGUUUUAGAAAGGAAUUUCGUUGUCCGCCCUGUGUUCUGGCAAGAGCACGGUGACCACACAGAUCCCUCCUUGGCCUCUUUCCCUUCAUCUCUGAGGCUGAAGUUUGUCCAAGCUGCAACACUAUACCAUCCCGGUUUCCUGGCCCUGCUGCACUUUUCAACGUCCUUGAAGGCACCAGGGAUGUUCACAGGGCAAACUUGGGGCUUAUCUGAUGUUUCUAUUAUCGUGCCAAGAAAUGGAAUUUUUAACCAGAACAGAGCUGGACAAAUUCUAGCUGAAGAGUAGAGGCAUCAUUAUUUUGGGACACAACCAACAGUGAACUAAAGGAUGAUGAAUAUAAAGAGAUAAACUCAAUAUGAAAAAUUACCAACAGCAGAUGAACAGUGUUUUUUAUUCAAAGAUUGUUUUGGUUGUUCAGGAUCCCUUGCCUUUCCAAGAAUGUAACAUUUUAUAAUAAAGAUAGAGACACAAGGAUACAAUAUGUAUUUUUCAUUUUGUGCAUAAAUAUUGAGUUUUUAUGUAUUGUUAUACUUCUUUUGGGGGGUGGGGAGGGUUACCAGGGAUUGAAUUCAGGAGUACUUGACCACUGAGCCACAUCCCCAGCCCUAUUUUGUAUUUUAUUUAGAGACAGGAUGUCACUGAGUUGAUUAGUGACUUGCUUUUCCUGAGGCUGGCUUUAAACUGGCAAUCCUUCUGCCUCAGCCUCCUGAGCCAUUGGGAUUACAGGCAUGUACCACCAUGUCCAGCUUCAUGUAUGAUAUACUUUAAUCUACUUAGUGAACUGGAAAUAUCUAUGAUCUUAUUUCUUUCCAGUAUCAUCCAGCUAUAUCUUCAUUCAUACAGUUAUUAUAUAGUAUAAAGUAUUCACAAAUGCAAACUUAAAUAUGAAUAUUUAUUAGUAACAUGGGUUUGUAGACUAUAUAUUGCAUAAUAUGCAUUUUGAUGGUAUCUAGGGACUUUCUAAUAUAAAUAUAUAGCUAUUCAAGAAAAUAAGGAAAGUAAUGUUUAUUCUCAAAAGGAAAACAGUUUAUUCAGUUUGGUUUUAAAUAAUUACUAUGUAGCUUAUCCUCCCAUCCCCCCAAAAGGGGCUAUGGUCUGCCCCUUUAGUAAAAGUUCAGUGGGGAAUAAUCAACAGGUCAUAUGCUAGGCAAGUUAUAUUAUCAUGAAUGUAACUUUGAAAAUCUGGGAAAAUGGCCACUCAGGGAACUAUGGGUGACCCGCCUGAUUAUGGUGUGUCUUCCUGGCUGACAUUUCAACUUUACUAUUUUUGU
Molecule: long non-coding RNA, 2081 nt
Organism: Marmota monax (woodchuck)
Lineage: Eukaryota; Metazoa; Chordata; Mammalia; Rodentia; Sciuridae
Exons: 3
Source: RefSeq, a predicted model, not a curated record